CAAUAAAGUUUUAUUUGUCUCACAGAUGCUCUAGUCUGAGGAAUCAAAAAAGCAUAUAUCCAUCUAAAGGUGAGCUGUCGAUUUUCUUGUUGGAAUGUGGAUAUUCUAAUAAAAAAAGAAGCUGAAUAUUUCCUGAUUUUUAAAGAUGGCAACUAAUUUAAAACAGUAACACACUGUGUAGGCCAACACAAAAUGUAUUAGUAGGCCGGUUUCAACCCUGGGGCCACCACCUUGCAACGUCUGAAAUGAAGUAUUCACCAGCAACCCACAGGAAGGCUUGCUUUGGCUAAUCUAUGGUCAAGACAGAAACAAAUUUCAACACCGUGAAAACUGGGACUCAUUGGAGAUGGCAUAGAGGCAGAAAAGACUGAGCGAGUUGUGGAAAAGGCUGAGCAGGAAGAGGAAGCAGAAGAAUGGUAGAAGGAUGUUCAGUGAGAUGUUGCCAUGCAAGGGCAAGGUUAUUAGAGCUGCUGCAGCCAUCUUGUGACAAUAAAAGAGAACCAAGAGGAUUUCAGAAAUACCAUCCCACAUCCUGACAUUAUGUAGCUUCUGAACCAUCUAUCUCCAUGGAUCUUGCUAUGUGAGGGAAUGACUGGAAUCCUGAAACCUGAUUCUGCUCUGCUGUGGAAAGAAUGAGCACCUCAUAUAUACCAUCCUCACAUCUUGGGCAGCGGGUUGCUAAAAACCAUAGCUGUGUGCCAUGU
Long non-coding RNA from Homo sapiens (human), 704 nucleotides. RefSeq lists it as uncharacterized. The transcript is spliced from 3 exons. Lineage: Eukaryota; Metazoa; Chordata; Mammalia; Primates; Hominidae. The record is from RefSeq and is a predicted model, not a curated record.